AUAUUGCACUGUGCAUCGAUUUGGUGAGUGCCAGACCUUAACUGUGUUUUUGCAAACAUUGAACUAAGCAGAUCUGCCCUCUGGAAGUAUGUCCUUGGGUUCACACCAUCUGUAGUUAUGGAUUUCACCAGCUGCAGGAGAGGGUUGUCACUGUUAUUCAUGACAACAUUUUGCAAUGCAGAGCUGUCACAGAAAGUACAGCAUAAGCACUGACAAAAGGCAUCAAAGGAGCAGGUGUUUAACACAGAGAUUGACAGUUUACCAACUUUAACAGGCUGAUGCAUGUUUCCAUUUUUUAAUAGUCCCACUUUCACUCUUUUGGUCCCAGAUGAUGAAUCUGCAUGGAGCCAUUCAGUGCAGGAACUCAAGUAUGAAGUCCUCUUCCUCUUUUUGGGUGGAAGAAUUUGUCCUCUCCAGUUUUCAACCACGUUUUCAUCUGCUGUGGAAAGGUUUUUGGCGGGAUCAGAUUCCAUUAAAUCGCUAGAAUCCAUUUUUGUUUUUUCUUCAGCAUUGUGUAUAAUUACUGACGCAGGAUUAGCUUCUGCAACGUCUGCUGAUGUAACUUGUUCCUCCUCUCUUUUUGCUUUGGCAGAGCAAAUCCGCAUAUUUCCUUCGAUGAAGGAAAGGUGCCGAGAAAUGAAGCGAUCCACUCGAAUGGGCAAGUUCUCAUGUUUGAACAGGCCAUGUUUUAUAUUUUUGAAUUCGGCUUCAACAUUGGCUGAGCUUGCUGUGAGACUGGUGCUUUUGAAGAGGGGAACCAUUAUUCCUGUCCACAGUGGUAAGUAACUUGCAAGUCUUAUAAUGUGUGGCACAAUCUCAGGGAGGAAAUGAAUGUUAUCCCUAUCCCCAUUGGCUGCAGCAUGUGUCCUGCUCUCCUCACAAAUGUUUGACACCCAGUCUCGUAGGUCAGUCUGAUAAAAUCCUCUAAAUACAAUCUCUGACUUGGACUAGUCAUUAUGUGACUAAAUCAUAAGAGAACCCCGUCACAGGGACUAAAUACACAAGGGAGAAAUCAAGGGGAAACCAGAGACGGCUGGAGACAAUCAAGGGGUCGGUGGGACGACACGGAGACUCAACUGAACACAGAAACCUAAAUUAACACCAAGAAAAACCAAAUCCUCACAGCUGGUGUCACACUUGGUGACUGUCUGAUGUUUUUCUGAUGUAAAGCACUUUGAACCGCCGUGUUGCUGAAAUGUUCCACACUAAGAAGCUUGACUCGACCACGGAGUUGUUCCAGACGUCUUGGAUUCUUCCCCAGAUUUGUGCUAUGACUCCAUCUGCUCUCAGAGGUCAGAGGUCAUCUGAUGGUUUCUAAUCUGACUUUCUUCAUCAGCUGAGAUACUUUCUGUAGACACCAGGGUUUCUCCACAUCCUGUUCAGUCUGCUGAUCGUUUCCAUAGCAACGAUCAGAAGCAAGAUGGAUAAAAAGCCUGAUCUACGUAAGACAGCAGCUUCAUCUGGAAUAACCAAACCUGCACAAACCCAGGCGGACAUGAAGAUAAAACCUCAGUUGGUCCCAGCGAUGGACAGCAGGUUCAGCCCAACCAGAGGCUGCAGAAAAAACACCGUUGUGACAAGUGUCUGAAACAUUUCAGAUUGAAGACUUAUCUCAAAAUUCAUCAACGCAUUCACACUGGAGAGAAGCGCUAUCUCUGUGACCAGUGUGGAAAAACUUUCAUUCACAAGAGUAAUUUUAACAUUCAUCUGCGAAUCCACACUGGUGAAAAGCCUUAUAGCUGCAGUCAGUGUGAGAAGAGAUUCAGACAACGGUCAACGCUGCAGAGUCAUCAGCGAAUCCACACUGGUGAAAAACCUUAUAGCUGCAGUCAGUGUGAGAAGAGAUUCAGACAACGGUCAACGCUGAAGAGUCAUCAGCGAAUCCACACUGGUGAAAAACCUUAUAGCUGCAGUCAGUGUGAGAAGAGAUUCAUACGAUCCUCACAACUGAAGAGUCAUCAGCGAAUCCACACUGGAUAAAAAGCCUGAUCUACGUAAGACAGCAGCUUCAUCUGGAAUGUGAGGGAACUUCUUUCUCUCCGCUUGUUUUUUAUCACUAUGGCGCCAACAGUUGGUGCUUUCAGUGACAUUUAUAUCAAUAAUAAUAACAAGCAUGCAAAUAAA
Long non-coding RNA from Gambusia affinis (western mosquitofish), 2124 nucleotides. RefSeq lists it as uncharacterized. The transcript is spliced from 2 exons. NCBI's taxonomy places the organism in Eukaryota, Metazoa, Chordata, Actinopteri, Cyprinodontiformes, Poeciliidae. The record is from RefSeq and is a predicted model, not a curated record.